Molecule: ribosomal RNA, 548 nt
Filed under: uncultured bacterium
Lineage: Bacteria
Description: partial 16S ribosomal RNA
Rfam family: Bacterial small subunit ribosomal RNA
Source: RNAcentral
UGGGGAAUUUUGGACAAUGGGCGAAAGCCUGAUCCAGCAAUGCCGCGUGUGUGAAGAAGGCCUUCGGGUUGUAAAGCACUUUUGUCCGGAAAGAAAUCCUCUGGGUUAAUACCUCGGGGGGAUGACGGUACCGGAAGAAUAAGCACCGGCUAACUACGUGCCAGCAGCCGCGGUAAUACGUAGGGUGCAAGCGUUAAUCGGAAUUACUGGGCGUAAAGCGUGCGCAGGCGGUUUUGUAAGACGGAUGUGAAAUCCCCGGGCUUAACCUGGGAACUGCAUUCGUGACUGCAAGGCUAGAGUAUGGCAGAGGGGGGUAGAAUUCCACGUGUAGCAGUGAAAUGCGUAGAGAUGUGGAGGAAUACCGAUGGCGAAGGCAGCCCCCUGGGCCAAUACUGACGCUCAUGCACGAAAGCGUGGGGAGCAAACAGGAUUAGAUACCCUGGUAGUCCACGCCCUAAAACGAUGUCAACUAGUUGUUGGGGAUUCAUUUCCUUAGUAACGUAGCUAACGCGUGAAGUUGACCGCCUGGGGAGUACGGUCGCAAGAUU